CCUACGGGAGGCAGCCGUGAGGAAUAUUGGUCCAUGGACGAGAGUCUGAACCAGCCAAGUAGCGUGAAGGAUGACUGCCCUAUGGGUUGUAAACUUCUUUUAUAUGGGAAUAAAAUGUUCCACGUGUGGGAUUUUGUAUGUACCAUAUGAAUAAGGCUCGGCUAACUCCGUGCCAGCAGCCGCGGUAAUACGGAGGAUCCGAGCGUUAUCCGGAUUUAUUGGGUUUAAAGGGAGCGUAGGUGGAAUGUUAAGUCAGUUGUGAAAGUUUGCGGCUCAACCGUAAAAUUGCAGUUGAAACUGGCAGGCUUGAGUACAGGAGAGGUGAGCGGAAUUCGUGGUGUAGCGGUGAAAUGCUUAGAUAUCACGAAGAACUCCGAUUGCGAAGGCAGCUCACUGGACUGCAACUGACACUGAGGCUCGAAAGUGUGGGUAUCAAACAGGAUUAGAUACCCCUGUAGUC
This 460-nucleotide ribosomal RNA is filed under the name uncultured bacterium. Its description in RNAcentral is "partial 16S ribosomal RNA". It matches the Rfam family "Bacterial small subunit ribosomal RNA", at positions 338 to 795 of the family's 1533-position model. The record is from RNAcentral.